RNAcentral lists this small RNA (124 nucleotides) under Marmota monax (woodchuck). The record is from RNAcentral. Lineage: Eukaryota; Metazoa; Chordata; Mammalia; Rodentia; Sciuridae.
GCCGGGCACAGUGGCACACGCCUGUAAUCUCAGCCUCUGGGAGGUGGAGACAGGAGGAUCGUGAGUUCAAAGCCAGCCUCAGCAAAAGGGAGGCACUGAGCAACUCAGUGAGACCCUGUCUCUA